GAUGAACGCUGGCGGCGUGCUUAACACAUGCAAGUCGAACGGUGAAGGCGGAGCUUGCUCUGCUGGAUCAGUGGCGAACGGGUGAGUAACACGUGAGCAAUCUGCCCCUGACUCUGGGAUAAGCGCUGGAAACGGCGUCUAAUACUGGAUACGAGCUGCGAAGGCAUCUUCAGCAGCUGGAAAGAAUUUCGGUCAGGGAUGAGCUCGCGGCCUAUCAGCUUGUUGGUGAGGUAAUGGCUCACCAGGGCGUCGACGGGUAGCCGGCCUGAGAGGGUGACCGGCCACACUGGGACUGAGACACGGCCCAGACUCCUACGGGAGGCAGCAGUGGGGAAUAUUGCACAAUGGGCGAAAGCCUGAUGCAGCAACGCCGCGUGAGGGACGACGGCCUUCGGGUUGUAAACCUCUUUUAGCAGGGAAGAAGCGAAAGUGACGGUACCUGCAGAAAAAGCGCCGGCUAACUACGUG
Molecule: ribosomal RNA, 468 nt
Filed under: uncultured bacterium
Lineage: Bacteria
Description: partial 16S ribosomal RNA
Rfam family: Bacterial small subunit ribosomal RNA
Source: RNAcentral